RNAcentral lists this ribosomal RNA (253 nucleotides) under uncultured prokaryote. RNAcentral's name for it is "partial 16S ribosomal RNA". It matches the Rfam family "Bacterial small subunit ribosomal RNA", at positions 524 to 776 of the family's 1533-position model. The record is from RNAcentral.
UACGUAGGGUGCGAGCGUUAAUCGGAAUUACUGGGCGUAAAGCGUGCGCAGGCGGUUCGUUGUGUCUGAUGUGAAAGCCCCGGGCUCAACCUGGGAAUGGCAUUGGAAACUGGCGAGCUAGAGUGUGGCAGAGGGGGGUGGAAUUCCGCGUGUAGCAGUGAAAUGCGUAGAUAUGUGGAGGAAUACCGAUGGCGAAGGCAGCCCCCUGGGAUAACACUGACGCUCAUGCACGAAAGCGUGGGGAGCAAACAGG